AAAACAUGCCUACGGGCCACACAGUGAAGUGAGUAUUUAUGUACAUGGUUCUGUUAGGCAUUGAGUAUGCAAUAUAUGCAUAGAAUUGUAAAAUUACAUAUACGGUCACUAUUUUGCUUUCUACCACUGUUACCACUGACUUCUAAUUUGCCUCUGUUUUUUGUCAUCUCACAGGUGGGGCUGCACUAUUGGAAGGGAAUCACACACUAUCUAUCUUGGAAGGGGAACCUCGCCGGUGGAUGUUGGGUGCUCUGAGUAGCACGGUUGUUUCAGUAAUGUUAUUCGUGGAUUUGUAAUGUUCUUUUUCAUAAAUUGGUGUGGAUUUGUAAUGUUUUAUUUGAACUAUCAGUACUUUAAAUUGUCUGUUUUUAAAAUUCCUGGUACAAUAUGCUUGUUACAUUUGACAUGGUAUGUACUAAAUUGUGUAUUUUACUUGUAAUAUGUGAGAUGUGUAUUUCACUAGUAAUUUGUGGGGUUUGGAAAUGGUUUUCAAACAUUUUUAUGUGAGGAGUGUGGUUUCAAACCACGGUUAUUCCUUGAGUUUCUAGUGAUAGGAAAUAUUUUUUAUGUGAGGGGUGUGGUUUGGAUGAGAUUAAAGGGAUUAAAACCUAUUAGAAAUCCCUUGAGAGUGAAGUGAAGAAGAGGUUGAAUUAAAUUAGUGUUAACUAUCAUAUUGGUCCCUGUGUUUGAGUCGCCGUCUGAGGUAAGUCCCUCGCCGGAAAAAUUAUUGUAAAAGAUCCUCUUCUUUAUAAAUCAUUUGGAGCAGGUCCUCGCCGGAGCCCGGAGCUCCGGCGAGUGAUGAUUUGGACCGGUGACAGGGCAAAAAAAGCUGACAUGGAUUUUAAAAAAAAUAAAAAAAUAAAAAAUUAAAUAACACUUCAGAAUAUUGGACCCAAUUAACAACAAAAAAAACCCUAAUUAAUUAAUAAAAUCAAUUCUCCCAAAGUAAUUCCCCAAAUUGUUCAAAAAGAAUUUCCCCAAAUUAACCCAAAUUUUCAGUCAUUCUAAUCAAAAUUAGUGUUCAUAUUUUGCAACCCAAAUCUUCUUCUUCUUCUCCUCAAAUUAGGGUUCAAUCCAAAUCCUGUUCUUCUUCACCACCACCAACCCCAGCAGCCUCCACCACUUGAACGUAGCAGAAGCACAAACACUGCAACAACGAUCUGGAUCUGAAUCUGAGUGCGACGGAGGACGAUCCUGGCGUCUCAAACCGCCGCCACCGCCGCCGACGAAGAUGACGGUGAUGAUGAGCAGCGUGAACGAAGAUUUCUUCCUCUCAUGUCGAUUUCUUCCUCCUCGCACCGUGACAGAGACCUCAAUCUCUUUCUCUGCCUUCGAUUUGCGCCGAUUCACAGCAAUGCUUGGGUUUGCAGGUUAGGGUUCCAUAUUGGUGGUAUUUGGGGGGUUUGGUUGAAUAUGGAUGAGGGUGGAUCCUUGGUGGUUCGAGGGUGGUUGUUUGUUCUUGCUUCUACCUUUGGUCGUAAAGUCUUGGAGGCAAUUCAAGUUGGUGACCAGAUUCUGUGUUCUGUGUAGCUGCUGCAUACCUGUUCUGUUCUGUUCUGUAUUGGGCGUGGUGUGUUCUUGUCCUCCCCUGUGCGUCUCUGACUUGCUAUUUGUUAUAUUGAUGUACUGAUUCGGUUGGGAUUGAGCCUCCUCCAUGUCGGAAGCAGAAGAAACUGUGGGUGAAGCCUGAUGAGUGGAUCUAUCAAGAGAAUGAAGAAUGAUGUUUUGGUUUUUCUGGAUCUAUCAAGUGGUUGAUCGAUCUCUUCACCUCUCUCUUCUCUCACCCAUGUUCUGGGUUCUUCUGGAUCCAAACUUAGAUUGGGGUGGGGAUUUCGGUUGGGGGUAGGGGUUGGGGUUUUGGUUUUGGUUCCGAUUGCAGGUGAGGGUGAGGAUGCGGGUUGGGGUUUGGGGGUGAAGUUGCGGGUUGGGGUUUGGGGUUUGCGGGUGAGGGUUGAGGUUGGGUGAGGUCGUGAGGGUUUGCAGGUGGGUGAGGGUGAGGGUGAGGUUGGGUGAGGGGGUUUAGAAACUGUGGGUGAGGUUUGAGGUUGGGUGUUCUGGGUUUGUGUUGUGCACUGGGUUUGAGGUUGGGGUGUUUUGAUGAUGAUGAUGAUUCUGGAGUGUUAUUUUUUGGGUUAAUUUGGGGGAAUUGAAGUUAAUUUGGGGGGAAAUUGAUUUUGUUAAUUGAUUUAGGGUUAGAUUUGGUAAUAUGUUUAAUUGUAGUUAAUUUGAUUAAUGAAUCUGACAUGUAAUUUUUUUUAAUUUUUUAAUAUUUUUUUAAAUCCACGUAAGCAUAACUAACACAGUCAGCGAUCCAAAUCAUCACUCGCCAGCUCCGCCCUCCGGCGAGGACCCGCUCCAAAAGUUUUUCAAACACGGGGACUUUAGACCAAAUAUUUUCCGGGGAGGGACUUACCUCAGACGGCGACUCAAACACAGGGACCAAUAUGAUAGUUAACCCAUUAAAUUAAUACUAGUUAUUACAGAGGUUGAAUAAGAACCAAUUAAUACUAUUUAAUACUAGUUAAUACAGAAUAAUACCAAAAUAAAAACCAAUAACUACUUUAUUUGGUUGCCAACUUGCAAUCCCUUGAAUUUCUUGAAUUAGGUUCAUUUUUUACUUCACCCACUAUCUUCACCGCCAAUUCAAAAAGAAAUUACAAAAAAAUUCUCUUUUGGAUCCUUUUUUCCUUUUUUUUCUAAUACUAAUAAUUAUCCCAAAUUUAAAUAGUUUGGACCAAUUUUUUAGUUACUUACUCACUAAAUUUUCGAUACCCUCACUACCUAGUUUUAUUGUGUUAUGUUAAGUUGUAAUGGAAAAAUAUAUGCCCAACACAAAGUGAACUUCAUUGAAAUAGUAAUGGCCAUAAUUGGCUACAAAAUGGAAGAGGGACAAAGGGGAUGACAACAAAGGACAGAAGUAGAAAUUAUUUUGUUCACACGGGCACACACAGGCAUAGCAUUAUACUGAAUCCUUCACACAAGGCGGCCAGCUGCGCGCGAGAUCGAGAUAGCAAAAACAUCUUCAAAAACUGUUGGCAUGCAAUAUAUAUGGUCUCCAGGCCCAACAUGAUUCUCCACCUUGAAUUGAUACCAACCCUUAGCAAAUGAACACUGGUUUCCAGUGGCAUAGUGCCACGACACUUUGACAGUAUAAAGCUUCACAUACUCAUAUACAAAAAUGAUCUUCUCAUAUUUCCUAUCAAGCCACCUUUCUGCAAACCAUGCAGGGACCGCCUACAUGAAGUGAUGAAAAUAGCAUGAUUUAAGAAAAAAUUUAACAAGAUUUUAACAAGAUAAUAGGGGUGGAAAUUCAUGAAUGAAGUGAUGAAACCAUGGUUGUAAGAAAAUAUGCUUACCAAUGCUUGACCUUUUACAGCUUGAGACUUUGUAAUGGGUUUAACAAAGCCUGGACCAAAUGGAAUUUCACCUUCCCUAACCUCCUUCCCUACAAACCUUGGAUCAUUGCUUCGAAUCCAUCCAUAAGGGUAGUCAUCGGUACCAUCAGAAUCACUUUCAUAAUAAACAUCAGCAUCAGAAUCAGAUGAGAUGUCAAUAACCUCAGUUUCGUUUGGGGGUGGGAAUUGGCUAGAGCUGGCCAUUGAUAGACAAUUGAGAGAAGAGAAUGAGGAAAUAAUGGGAGAGAAGAAAGAAAGGAUGAGGUGACUUUAUAGAUAGGCAAUGGUGACUGUGGCUUUAAUAGAUGAACGACCUUAUGGGGGGGAGGGGGGCGGUGGGUGAGGACUUAGGGAAUGAUGGUGUUGGGAACACAAACAUGCAAAAAAAGCUGUUUUGACCACACUAGGAAACAGUAAAAAGUAGAUAUGACAAGAUUCCUUGACCAAGAAUCAUAGAGGGGGGGGGGGAGAUAUGACAAGAUUCCAUUCACCAAGAAUCAUUAAUGGGUGAAUUAAUAGCAUUGACUGACCGUCUAAUAGGGGAGGGGAGUCAUUUUUUUGUUCAAUAAGGGAGGGGAAUGGGGAAUUGAUAUCAGUUAAUAUGCAAGCAUUAAAAUUACAGUUACAAUGCAAACAUUAAAAUUACAGUUAAAAUGCAAACAUUAAAAUUAAAACAAAAUGCAAACAUUCAUCCAUAUCAUGGAAUUUAUUUCAACUAAAUGCAAACAUUCAACCAAAUCAAGGAAUUCAUUCUCAAGUAACUGAACAAAUAGUCCAUAGUGGGGGGGAGGGGGUUAGUUCAGGAUCCACCCAUCAGGUGACAAAACCUUGCAUUGCCUAUCAUAGGAAAUUCAAUGCAUUGUGUUGCCACCACCAAAUCCAAACCAUCAUUGUUGUAAAGUUAGAGUAUAUUACAUGCCCAAAAUCUGUGCAACACAUAUAUAUGCACAACAAAAUAAGCCAGCCAACUAUUAAAUCCUAUUGCUGCCUAUUAAAUCCUACUGCUGCCAGUGUUAAAAAUGCAGCCAACAAAAAAAUACACUUGCCCUUCAACCACAGACUUCACAAGGUCGCAACUACCCCUUCAACAUCAACAGUGUGACAUGCAUUCCAGAAAACAUUGGCCUUCUCCUCCAAGCUCCUCCGAGUGUCAUUGUGCUCACCACAUAACAGAGUUGUGGCAGUGUUCAUGCGAACAACCCUUUCAUUUGGCUAGCAUAAGAAAAAAAAACAGAAAUUAAUUCUCACAAUCCAACAAAACAGUCAUGAACCAUGCAGAUGACUAUUUACUUACAUAGCCAGAUUGAUUGGGAUUAAAUCCAGAACCCAAUUCAAGCCAACUUAACAACCACACAGCUGAAUCAUGGCUGCAGUAAACAUCAAAACAAGAAAGAGUUAACAAAACUUGACAAAAUUAUGAAAUUAGCAGUUUAAUGUUUAAUUUCAAUAAGGACUACCUGCUACCAGUAUUGAGGAUGCCCCUUGCUUCCUUUAGCUUCCAAGAAUGAAAAUCCACCAUUUUCCGGUAAAAAUUAGUUUCCACAUAUCUGUCAUCUGUGCUCAUCAUUUCAACCAAUGUGUUGCACUGAUACAAUAAAAGCAAACAAAUUAAAGUAUGAUGCUAGAAGGUAAAAAGUAUUCAGAUCUCCGUGAAGUAUUAUAUAAACAUUACCAAUGUUUUCAUGGAUGCACAUCUAACCGGUAUGUCCUCCACAUUAAGAUGGGAAUCCAAGUGGUAAUUGGUGUAAUCCCCAAUGGAAAUGAUGCACAAAUACCAAUGGCCAGAAACAGUCUUCAUAGGAAUGUAGAUCUACAAAUGCAAGUAAAUAUGUUAAAAGGUGCAUCACAAUCAUUAAUGAUAGGCAAUUAAGACAUAUUCUUUCACUUAUGAAACUUAAACAAAACUUACAUAUUUCAAAGUGUUGUAUGGAUACAUGAAUGGCCUCAAGUAUUCCUUACACAAUUUCUCAACAGAAAAGCCCUUGUAAACAUCCUCCUAUUUUAGGGGUGGGAACAUAUCAGACUUCAACCAAUAUGAAGAAUAGCAUGCAGAUAAGGAACUCUUUCAAAUCUUACCACAAAACAUGGGGGAAAGCACCAGAUAGUAUCAUCCAUGUGAUAGCUUUGUUCACGCAUGAUCUUGACAGCAACCAAGGUUAUAAUCUAUUUUGCAGAUUAAUAAACAAAUCAGACCCUAAUUAAAACACUAAUUAAUGCUAAUUAGAAACUUAAAUUAACCAGUAACCUUGUCAGUUAUUUCCUGUCCAGGGAUGAGGCAAUCAAAGUCCCUUCUCACAGCUUCAUAACGACCCAUACUCAGCAAAAGCUCACUGAGCAAAAAAUACCGCACAUUAAAAUAUCACCAAAAUACAACAUACAGUUAUAACAAAUUGGAAUAAUUAUUCAACAUACUCUGGGUCACUUUCCUCUUCGAACAAGUAUGUAGCAACCUGAGUAUCAGUCAAUAACAAGUCCAGCUCUUCAGGGACUUCAAACUUUGGCCUGGCACUCUGACAUUACAAAACAUGAACUAAACUUAAUCAGGUUUGAAAUAAAAAUAAAAUAACAGCAAUAUUUGCAAUGCAAAAACCGUAGUAUACCUUUGGAACAAGUGGACGAGGUAAAGGGCGCAUGUAGAGCAUCGCUUGGGUCAUUGGAUUGAUUGAUUGGGGGCCAGUGAUAGGACUUCGAAAAGUAGAUGAAGAGCUAGUAGCUCUUUUGGAUGAGGGUGGGGUGACAAACAGCAUAGACCUUGUUUGCUCAACUUCUUGCCUAACAAAGGCACCAACAAGUCCCUACAAUUUAGCAGAUCUGAUUAGUUACUUAACAAUAAAAAAAAUGCAGAAAGAGGGGUAACAAUUUAAUGAACAUACCUCUACAGAUGUAGCACUUCUGAAACUUUUUUGUAGCCAAGGUGUAAGAAUGCCUUUGCUUGGGUUGGAACCAGCAGAGUCUGUAUUUUUUUCUUCACCUUCAUUCUUCUCAAAGUCCAAAUCAAUGUUGAUUACAUCAUUUUUCAGGAUCUCAGAUGUUGCCCUUGCAUUUUUUCUUUUCUUUUUACAAGCAGCAGACUCAGCAUGAGCUUUAGACUUAAUACCACAUUUUGGGGUUGAUUCUCCAAGGUUUGGUUUGUCAACCAUGCUGAGAAACUUGUCUACCCUCUCCAUGUUACCAUGCAUAACAGUCUGGAUCUGGUGAAAUUCCUCUAGACGAUGGUCCACUUGUUGGAACUUCACCAUAGCUGCCUUCACAGACCCAGCAAGAUCCAUGACAGUAGCGGUUAGUUGUUUAACAUCACUAGACAACUGAGUUUGAUGAAGAGGCUCUACCCUAGCCUCAUCAGUCAAGGUAUCAAGGCUGAAAAUUAAAAAAACAGAAGAAAUAAUGGGAAAAAGUUAUUUGUGGAAGACAAUAAAUGAUGGAUAAAUCAACCAACAGCCAGAAUAACUAACCUUCCUUCCCCUCCAUUCAAUGGAGUAUUGAAGCUAGGUUCAUCAUUGGGCAUCUUUCCAGGGUUAGUUGAUGACAUCACUAAGUAAACUUACAAAAAAUCCCAAAUAGUUAAAAAGAGGAUAGAAGAGAAGAGUGUGAAUAGCCUUCAACCGAAUGUGGGCAUUGGGGUGAAUAGCCCUUUAAUAGAACAGAAAUUAGGGUUUAGUAACAUGUAAACAAGUCAAGUCAGGUCACUUUCAAAUUGGUCGGGGACCCCACACGUGAACUAGGUAUAUAAACUACAUAGUUACAUAGUACUAAGAUUUUCCUUAAAAAGUACUAAGAUUAUAACCAGAAGCAAUUACCUACAUUCAGAUUACUAUAUUAUGUGUGAAUAAAGGACCCCACAAUGAGGAAAUUUAAAAUUUAAAUUAGAAUAGGUCAGAAGAAAGCAUUAACACAAGUUAAAUUAUAAAUUGGAAUACAAAAUACAACACUGGGGUCCCAACAAUGGUCCAUUAAACAUAGGAAAGACUUAAUACAACAGAACUCCCAAAAGAAAUAAAACACUUAAGACAUUUAGGAAACCACAUAGAGAGUGGCCAUAAUUCCAAUGAAAAUACCAAAUAAAACACAACACAUGGUAAUCCACAGCCACUUUAUUGCUCCACCAUCCCUCUUUUUCUCAACCCCACAGCCUUUGAGAGGCUCACAAACUCCAUCUUUUACAGCCUCGCUCAAUGUAGGACACAUUGAGGCUGCAGAUGGAGUUAUGGUUGAAGAAGAUGGACGAAAGUGUAGAUCACCCUCCCAGUAAACAUGUCCCAAUUCCCUUGCUGUUGUCCGAGGAAACUUUGUCAUGGAUUCCUUGGCCAAAAAUUUCAUCCACGCGCUGGCAGCCGCCUCACAAGUGGAGUAUUUUUCAUGAAUGUUCCCAGGGUAGCAAUAGACUUGGCGAUGUACUUCGGCCCAAGUUUUGUAAAUGCCCGGUUCUCUACCCACAAACACAACGUAUUUCCCCAUUCCCUCACUACUUGGUGUUUCCAUUUUUUAGAAGCUCUAUGUAGGACUGUCCCAACCGUUGGUUAUAUAUAUCUAAGAUAGAUAUAUCUAAGAUAGUAAUUACAAUAUUUACUAUGUACCUAACUCUAACAUAACAUAUUAUAUUCUGUGAGUGAACCACAUAGUGACAAGCCUCUGCACGCUGACAGAUAGCCUGUGGCGGAGGGGCAGGGUAGGCUUUACCCUACGCCUGACCAAACGGAAGACAGCUGUGUUAAUUCACAUUCAAGUUAAAGCACAUCACGUGCUUAGUUACCUGAACACGCAUCAUGCGUAUCUGAUGCGUCUCAGCAAAGGAGAUGAGGGUAGAAGACAGGUGAGAAGGGACAGAUGAGUGUACAAAAAAGGUCAGAAGGGACAUAUGAGAUAAGACUUAAAUAUUUAAUAAAUAUUUAUAAUUCAUUAAUAAUCUUUUAUUAUCUACAAAUAAAUAAAUAAAUAAUUAACAAAUAUAAAUAUUAUUUCUAACAGAAUAAUAUAAUAACAAAUAUUAAUAAUUAAAAAAUAUUAAUAAUAAAUGCAUAAUAAAAAUAUUUAAAUAUUAUUUAUUACAAUAUAAUAAAUAAAAAUCAAUUUUUAAUAAAAACAAAUAUUAAUAAAUAAAAAAUAUUUAUUAUUUUAAUUUAUUAUUUUUUAGAAAUAAAUAUAAAUUAUUUUGUUUAUUGAUAUUAUUUACAGUAUAAUACAUAAAAACAAAUUUGUUUUUUUUUUUGGUAAUAAAAAACAAAUUUGAUUUAAACGGACCUGAACAAUUUUUUUUUGGCCCGGAUUGAAGAGGCAAAAAAAAUAAACCAUCUGGGCCAUGACAAAAAUACAUAUACUUACAAAAACUUGGCCCACUUCGCUCGACCAGCUCCUUCAUUCUUCAUUUUCAAAAAAAAAAAAACGUGCUCCUCCUUCAAGCAUACCCAGAUUAUCCUGGUAUUCAUGUCUUCGCCAUAACCUGGGUUUCAUGUCUUCACCGUUAUCCUUCAAGCACACCGAGAUCCUCCCUUGUUUUAACACAAACAGAAAGUGUUACUGUUAGUAUUCAUUCAAUCCAAUAAUUGAACAAAGUAACGAAAAAACCAAAAAUACUUCGAAUCACAAAUUAACAAAGUGUUUGCAGGAUAACAUCUUCGCAUCCCAUACAUGCACUACUUAAUUUCAACACUUGAAAUCUCUUAUUUGAAAACCCCCAAAUUCAACCCUAAUUUCAGAAUAAUGUCAAAUCCCUAAUUUGAAAACCCCUAAAUUCAACCCUAAUUUCAGAAUAAUGUCAAAUCCGUAAUUUGAAAACCCCCAAAUUCAACCCUAAUUUCAAAUUGACUUCAAUUCAAUAAUUUGAAAACCCAAAUUUCAACUCUAAAACGGAUCAAAAUCGCUUUAAUCUAGCAGAACCCCAAAAUUGAACCAAAUAAUUCUCUCUUGUUCAUGCAGUAAUUAUUUUCAAAAUCACCUUAAUCUGGAAAAAACCCAACAAAGAAAAACCAAUUUCAGAACUCGAAAACGACACUUAGAUCACCAACUUGUUUCAAAAAUUUUAAAUCCUAAACUUCAACAAGGAGAAGGGGAUGAGAAAUGAAGAACUUACACUUCGGUGGAAUGAGAAAAGGAAACGCGAUGUGUGACAAAGGGAUUCGCUAGAUCUGGAGACGAAUCCACCCAUGGAAACCGGAUUCGAUGUUGGGCUUCGAAUGAAGGUGGGUUUUCAACGGAUGGUGGGUAUCAAGGGAGGUGGGUUUCGAGGAAGAGAACAGGCGACGCUAAACGAACGAUCUCGGCCUUCGAUGAAGGUGGUUGGAGGAAGAGGAAAGGCGACGAGAACGCUAGAUCUGGAGGUGGGUUGCGAUGAAGGUGGCCAUGAACCCUAAAGAGUUCUCGAGAACAAAAGGCCAAAUGAGUUUUUGUGUUUGAUUUCUGGGGCGUAUGGGUUGAAAAUGAAAGUGAUUUAGAUCUGAUUUUGAAAAUUAAAGUGAGUGGGUAGUUGGAGUAAUUGAAGUGAGUAAGUGGGAGACAAUUAAUGAUUUGUUGGUGUAAUUAGUAGGAGUAAUUAAGUAAUUAACUGAUUUACCUUAUCAUUUUACCUCCCCAAUUACCACUAUGAUUUACCUUCAAUUAACUACUAAUCUUUAUUUACUAAUUAAAUCAUUUAUGGUUUAUAAAUUAAUUAUUUUGUUUUCAAAUAUUUAAAAAAUACAAUAUUACCUAUGGUAUCAGGUCAACCGGGAGUGGUGUAACAUUAGAUCACAAAAAACUGGUCCAUAAUAAAUAAAUCCAAGGUUUGAUGUGUACUUUGUAUUUUUGGGGUGAACAUCAAUAAAGAAAAGAAAAAUAUGACGCAACUCAUGUUGGCCCCUCUAGAGGCUGGGACAAAGAUGAUGAGAUGUUAAGAUACACUUAAGAGAUGUUAAGAUACACUUAUUCUUCAUAUUUUAUGAGUAAUGUUUCAUCCACACCUCUUUUUUAAGGUGGAGAGGAAGGAGAGGUGAAAUGGUGAGAGAGAUAAGAAAAAAGGAAAAAGUAAGAGAGAGAGAGAAAAUAUGAGAUGUGAUAGAUGAGAGAGAUAGAAAUAAAAAUAGGUGGAAAUGAAGUGUUUAAAAAAUGAGGUGUGUAUAUAUCAUUACUCAUAUUUUAUACACAAUACUUGUGAAUUGGUUAAAGACUUCUAAGUUGCAAAACUUACCUAAGUUGGAUGAGUGACGAUCCUCCUCUAAUGGCCCCUUAGGUCGUGGCAAGUAAACGAUCCCAGCAAGAAAUCUCAAGGCAGACUUAUACAUACUCUUAGGUUGGUUAGUCGAAUUUCCAAGACUCUUUAGUGAUUCACUCAGGACCAAACAUGUCACUGCAUUUUAGGGUGUCCUUUCCAAGCGUGGGAAGUCAUCCUCUCAUUUUAGGAACGAUCCAUGUAUAUGAUUUCCCUAUAUAUUACUUACUUUGUGUAUGGACUUGCAAGCCGUAUUCAUAUAAGGCACAAUGGACCAAUUAGAAAUUAGGUUUAGGGUUUACACUUUUUCUACUACAAAAAAAAAGUUUCACAUGUAAUGAUGAUGUUUUUUCACUUGACUUAAUACAAAACGACGACUAGGUCUAAAGAUGUUUUGAAUACGCUUAUAUCCUGUGUGACAUUUUUUUUAUUUAAUAUGAAUUUUAACUUUAGGCUAAACAAUAAAGUAAUAUGAUUAUGUUUUUUUUUUAUAAGCCAUGAAAUAUAUUGAAUAAAGUAAUAUGAUUAUGUGGUUGGAGGGAAUAAAUAGAAAAAAAAGACACAGCAGAGUAGAAAAGGUUGGACUGAAAUUAUAUCGGAAGCGUGAAGCAACACCAACCAAAGCUUGCAAAUUUGUCUGAAACAAUAAUCGCAUGUUGGAUUUCCUCACUCUCACACUCCCUACAUGGCUACGCUUUCGCUCACUCUCAACUGUUGCUGUUGCUGGAGCACCGUGAAGUAUGCUCACACCAUAUAUCCUGCUCCCAUCAUCAAUCUCCUUCACAGUUAGUCUAAACCUUCUUACACCAUUUUUAGUAACCUUUAUUUACUGGAUUUCUCUUUAGUUUCAUAGUUUUAUUGAUGCAUUUCCAUUUGCCCAAUCAAUUUGUGUUUAGUGAUUGAAGAAACUAUAUUGUCUUUUUUAUUUUUUCAUAGGGAGAAGAUAUAGCACAUGUUCUUUUGCCAAGAAGAGAUUGAAGAAAUCUAAUAGAGAUGUACCAGAAACAUUUGAGGAUCUCUCAGAUGAUAAAUUUGUUCAAAAUGACAACUUGGACACUUCUCUUAAUCCAGCUGCUCAGAAUUCUAACCCCAUGCCUUCUAGGAAUGCUGUGCUUCAAGCUUGCACAAUAACUUCUGCUCUGAUAGCGGCUGUCGGAAUAGUGAUUCGGCAGGUGCUCUUCCUUUUUAAGCAUUACUUGAUUGAUCUCUUUUCCCCAAUUUUAGUCUAUUUUAACAAUAUAACUUUGAUUACAUAUGAAACCUGUAUAUGUUGUAUUCUUGCACCAUAUUAGUCUGGAGAGGUUAAAUUGACAUUGAAAGUUAUAUCCUUUAGAACUGAGUUGUUAAUUCGGGACAAAGUUGUGUUUCUUUUUCCUGGAAAAGAGUGUUUUCAAAUUUAUCACCAUUUGGUUAAAGCUUGUUAGCAAGGGAAAUUUGCAUAAACAGGAUGUUAUGCCUAUUUGGUACUUCAUUUAGUUUUUGCAACUUGCAGGUAUCUCAUAUUGCAUCAAUAGAGGGAUUGCCAGUCUUGGACUGCUCUACCGAAGUCUCAUGUAAUACACUCAUGUUUAAUUCUUGCCAUUAGUUUUUGGUCCAAACUUCUACUUAUUGUCUUCUAUUUGAAGGGAUACUUAAAUUCACAAAAAAAAUUGUGUGUCAAGAGCUAUUUUUGGACUCUUAAUUGCAUUGCAUAGGAUAACUGGUCUCCUCAUACAUGUGCUGUUAACAUAAACCAGUGUUGAUGUUUGUGAUUUGUGAAAUAUUUAAACGUAUAUGGAAAUGAAAGUAUAACCUUCCUUGUGUAUACUUGUGUGCACCUGCGUGCUUUGGAGCCGGGCUACACCUGCAUGGAUUUUAUUUAUUGUGACAUUUUCAUGAAUACUGACCUGAAAUACAAACUAUCUCAUCUUCUUCUUGUGGAACUCAAAGGUUAAGAGGACAUGGCUCCUAAGUUCUAAUGGGUUUAAUCAUGGAAAUUCAUGAUUAAGAGAAGUUUGUAUAAUUUUCUUGUCAAGUGCCAGUAGCAAAUAUGAAUGUGCAUGUGUCUUGGUAAAUACAUCUUAAAUAUGUUGAAUUUUUUUAUUAUAAUGCAUGAAGUAUCCUAAGAAUUUUUUUCCCCUUUUAUCUGCAGUUGGUUUUGAAACGUGGCAUCUUGAGUUGAUUACAGGACUUGUAGUGUUAAUAUCAUCAUGUCGUUUUUUGCUAUUGAAGACUUGGCCGGAUUUUGCCGAGUCUAGUGAAGCAGCCAAUCAGCAGGUUAGUUAAUCGAACCAUGGUUCUGGAAAUGCUCUUUAAGAUUUUGUUAACUUUGUUAUUAGUGGGUUUCCAUUUAAAUCUUGAAUAUUCCAAUUGUAGGUGAUAGUAAUUUGAGUUAAUAUUUAUGCCAGAAUCUGACAGGAAAUGGUUCCAAGCUAAGAUUACUUUUCUUGCAAGCCUUGUUUUCUUUUGUCAUUUUUGUGGUUCUGUGUUUGUAUCAGUAUUCAGAUGCUUUGCUUUUACCAAAAAAAAAAGAUGCUUUGCUGAACUCUUGAAACAUUUUUCUUUCCCAAUCAGGUUCUCAGCUCACUCCAGCCUUUGGAUUAUAUUGUCGUUCGCAUUUUUUCCUGGAAUUAGUGAGGUUAAUAGAGCGCUACUCUGCUUGGCUUAUUUCACCUUUUCUUAUUUACUUUCAUUAUUUGACUGACAUCACAUGCUACCAUCUCAAAUUCCAGGAACUACUUUUCCGAGGCGCGAUUCUGCCACUUUUUGGAAUGAAUUGGAAGAGUAUUGGGGUGGCUGCCUUGGUCUUUGGUGUUUUGCACCUAGGCAAUGGUCGAAAGUAUUCCUUUGCCAUCUGGUGAGAUAUCUUUCUAAUUUCUUCCCCCCGCUCCUGCCCCCUCUUUUCUCUCUCUUUCUUCCUACUUGUAUUGCUGUUCCUAGAUCAUAUAUACUUUCCAUUAUUAUGUUGUUACUUGUUAGGCAUGAGAAUUAGAGAAUAAGACUGUUGUUUGUGUUUCAGGGCAACCUUUGUCGGUCUCGCUUAUGGAUAUGCUACAAUUUUAUCCUCUAGCGUUGCAGUUCCCAUGGCUUCUCAUGCAGUGAACAACCUGAUUGGAGGGCUAUUAUGGCGUUACACAUCAAAUACAUCGAAGCAGAAAUGAAAAAUUGUCAUCUUCAUAGAUACGUCACCACCACAUCUAUGUUUUGCAACCUCCUCCCUGGGGUUUGAUGUAAUGUGUACAAACAUUAUGAUGCAGAAAUUCAGAUCACAAGAGGCCAUUCCAUGAGGUUCGUUUGCAAUUUGCAAAUGCAGCAACUAAUUUAGCGGCACUGCUUUCUCCGCCAUUUUCAAGGAAAAAUUCAAGCUUGUAUAUUACUUACAGAUUAUAGAUUUUUUUCUGUUAUAAAUCUAUUGAAAAAUAUGUUUUGGAAUUUACUUACCGUAAAUAGAUAACUGUAAUUUUGUAAUGUAAGUGGGGUUGCUUGGGUUGGUUAUUACCUAUUUGGAUUUUGGUUUGUGACUUCCAUUUUUGGAAUAUGACCUUAUUGACUUAGGAUUAAACCUUUGUUUUUGUUACCCUUUGAAGGAAUAUUACUCUAAAAAUAAAAUGGCAAACAGAACAAACAGAAAACCAAAGCACCCGCGUUUAAGACGAGUUGUCCAUCCUUCUCCCUAUUCCUCACCUCUUUAUAAAAUGCAACAUUCCAACCUGUUUUUUUAUUCAUUCAAUUCAUCUCAACCUCUUCUCUUCCUUCUUUUUUCCUUCUCAUCUUCUUUGUUGUCUAUUCCUCUUUCCCAGAAGUUUGGGUAACCACCACAUAUCUCAAAGCUUCAACCUAUGGCUUCGGUAAGAUCCUUCACACCAUUUCAUUUUCCAAUCGUUGAUGUAAUGAUUUUGCAGUGAUUCUUGUUUAUGAUGAUGUGUAUUUAUUUUUUUCUGCCAUUUCUGUGAAGAGAUGAAUCAAUGUGAAUUUAUAAAUUAUGCAUUUGCAGUAUGAAAACCAAGGAAAGCCUCUACCCAAGUUCGGGGAAUGGGAUGUGAAUGAUCCUGCCUCAGCUGAAGGAUUCACUGUUAUAUUCAACAAGGCCAGAGAUGAGAAAAAAACUGGUGGAGGAGGAUCCCAGCGCAUUACGUCGCAACGAAGAUCCGAUUCGCGCAAGGAUGAUGAUAAAUCUUCCAAGGUAUGUACAUAUCAAUUAUAGGUGUUUAUAUAUUUUAUUUCAAUAAUGAUAUUUGAACAUACAGACUACGCAAACACUCAAUAGACACCUUAUUUUUCCAAUAGACACCUGAUUUCUCGCUCUGGGUUGGGUGUUUGUUAGAUGUCUCCACUAUGUGAAUGUCUACAAAUCACUUUCGAUUUCCUUUCUGCAAUAACAAUAACAAUUAUGCCUAUUAUGAAGCUGAACAUGUUAUUGUGCAUGAAUGUUUUGUUACAGAAAAAGUGGUUUUGCUUUAAACCUUAAACAAGGAUGAUGUCUGUUAUGCUGCUUGGGACGGAUAACAUGAUUCUCUUCAGUUUUCUUCAGAGGCCACAUUUGUUGCCAGAUCACUGAUUAGAGAUGAUGAAAAGAAUGAAAAUAGUUGCAGCCUGCUGGAAUCCCUGGUUUAACUUCUAGUUGUUUCCUUGUUUUCUACCCUUCGCCACCUAAUUCAUACAUUUAAUUAAUGGAUUUAGCUACUUGUACGCACCAGCCCCAAAAGCAAAUAUGUAAAUAGGUGUAUCAAUGACUAUUUUAUUAUGCAAUUACAGAGAGGAGAUAAAUGAGUUUUUAUUAUAUUCAUGAAUCAUGAUGUUGAUGCGCUCAACUAGGGGAUUUUGGUCUUUCGAUUCUUUUAGCUCAUGCCAUGUUUGUAGGAGGGGCGUCUUCUAUUUAAAUAUGGCCAAUUACAACUGGAAUUGUUGUUGAAUGAAGACAAGAAGUAGUUCUCUGCACCAGAAGCAUAUUGCUAACCAUGUUUGGUUGAAAACUUGCAAUAGAUGGUAUAGUAUAUGCAUCGAAAUUAGAAUGCAUGUUUAUUAUGUAAUAAGACUUUUCUAUAAAAUUGAUACAAUGCAAUGUCUUUUAACACUAAUUUGACAAAAUAAAUCACAGAAGAAAAGGCAGAAUGAUGUAUAAACAUCAUUACUUAUUACUCCAUUUGGGUGAAUACUAAUGUAAAACUAACUAAGAAAUACACGGUUUUCAAGACAAAAUGUGAAUGAGAGUUAAGCUAGUCUUUUGACUCUUUACCAAUGAUUGGUGAAACUCCUCUUCAAAAUUGAGAGAAUUUUUAGGUGAUGAAAAAUUAGUUAUGAUUUAUAUAUUUGUUGACUAAUUUUUCUAUCUACCACAAACUUAUUUGUUUUUAUGUGAUUUUUAUAUCACAAUAUACUAUACAGUCUCAAUUUCAUUUUUUUAUUCAUUGCAUUUAACUUUCUUUUUCAUCCAAUUUCCUUUAAUUUUUUCUUUCAUUUCUCUCUUCUAUUCAAAUAGAGUAUUGCUAUAUGGCACUACAUUUCUUGAGCACGAUUACCACGACCCAAUAUAUUCAAUCAUUGACGAAAAUCAUGUUGGGUGUAUGAGUGAGAAAAAGAUGAUUUUACAGAUAAUCUAACGGUGGACAAUUAGUCGUUCAUGGUCGUGUGAUAAAUCAGUAGUGUCAAAAAUCAUUUCCCCUUCAAAUAACACCACUCAUCGUAUCUCUAAUUUCUCUUACUUCUCCCUAUGUCUUUGUGGUUGUGGGUAAAAAUGAAGUAUCAACUAAACAUUUUAUCUUUUCAUAACGGUUUUUCCUCUAUUUCUAUCUUCCACCAUCUUUAUUUGGUUGAAGUAGUUUGAGAAGAGAAAAAGAUGAUGAAGAGAGUUAGAGAAGAGAUAGGGGAGACAACCUUGUGUUGUAGUUGUAGAAGGGAGGGGGAGAGAAAGACGUGAGGGGGUGGGCCUCACCACCUUAAAGGUUCUCUACAAAUUGGGGAGAAAAGAUGUGUAUACAUUUGUUUAUAUUUUUUAAAUUUUCCCUACCAACAAAUUUUUAUUUAAUACUUAAUCUGAUAAAAUUGUCUUUAAACACAAAAAGAAACUUUGUCUUCUCCAUCUUAUUUAUCUUUCUAUCUAUUUCUCUCCUUUUUAUUUUUCUUCUAAAAUCAAACAAAUCAUUAGUGAAUAUAUAUAUAUAUAUAUAUAUAUAUAUGAGAUUAAAUUAUUAACUUUAUUUUGAUAUAAUAUUUGACACCUUACCUUUAGAUAAUAAUAAUAAUAAUAAUAAUAAUAAUAAUAAUAAUAAUAAGAAUGAAGUUAGUCAUGAGAAUGAUGGUGUUGACAAAGGAAACACUAUUUGAUCUGAACAUUUAGAUGCAAAGAAGUUGCAAGUGUUGAUGGGCACCAAGAAGAAGAAUUGGAAGUCAGACGCGAGUACAUAGAAAAGGAAUCAAGACCACUUUUACCUCAUGUAUCUGUAAAAAGCAAUUUGCUACCUAUUGAUUUAGUAAACCACAUUUAUGAAUUCCAAAUAUUGUGCAUUAGAUUGAGGUUUAUUUAGAUUUUUUGAACUGCCUAUGUUUUAAAUGUGGAGUUGUGCAUUCAGAUAGUAUCGGAAGCUAUGGGUGCCUUAGAGAGACCAUGGAUAAAAUUGGCUAUGAUUAAAUUUGAAGGACUCUCAACUAAGGGUUUGAGACUAAAAUCUAGGGUGCCGGUGAAAUAUCUAUCGCCAAUCAUCAUUGCACAAUCCAUUGGGGAUAUUUUAGCUUUUAAGGGCAAAGGGCUUGAUACUAGCGCACACGUGUCCUAGAAUGAGCCGUUGGUUUGCAGUCCUUAGAUGUUAGACAACACUGAUGUUGUUGAUGGCAACAUGAGGCUGGAUUCUUUAUAUUGAUGGACGUAGAUAAUAUCAAUGAGCUUGGCUCCAAAAUUCUUGCAUCCUAUCAUGCUAAUUCUUUUAACUUUAUGCAUAGGAUUUUAAAGGAAGAAAUGAGACAAGGAAAAGGCUGGGAUAAAAUUUAUGAGCCUUUUGAACCCCAUAGCCUUUUGAGCCUAUGAGCCUUAUAUAAGUCGAGAGAGUGUUUGUCUUGCCAAAGCAAAAAAAUUACACCUAUGAAUCUGAUGUAAGAAAGAGCAAUGAUAAUGAAUAUGAUGAGCGUAUUAUUGAAGUAUUUUUAAGUUCAAAUUUAAGUAUGUAAUGCCAAAUUGAUGGAUUAUAGUUGGAUACAUGGCAUUACCUUUUUUCACUGUUGGUGGAACUACUUAAACAAAUUUAUAUUAAGUUAUUUGAAUAAAUUCAUUAGUGAAGUAAUUUAGAAGCUGUACGUAGCACUCUCCUCUUUCUCUUUUUCACGGUCAGUUGUACGUAGCACGCUCUAGAGUACGAUCAAAGAGGGGACAUUAAAUUUGUAUAUUGUGUGAUGCAAGAAACAUACAAACUUCUACCUUAAAUGUAAUGUAUAAGGAAGUUUUUUGUAAUGUUUGUUGUAUUUUUUUUGGUGCAUAGGAAAACUAAUAUUUGUUGUAUUAAACGAACAUGUAUUUACUUAUUCUUUUUUACUAAAUAAAUUAUCCAGUAUAUGUAUUGGAAAUUUUUACUAUUAAACAACAUAACUAACAUGUAAGAUACAUACUAACACGUUUUCUUCAACAAUAAAAAAGAUACAUACUAUCACAAUUUAUAUAAAUUUAAGUUAAAUCAUUCAUAUAUAUAAAAAAAUGAACAAUUUAUAAUUUCCGUGCAACGCACGGGUCAUCACACUAGUUUUUUAAAUUUUCCCUACCAACAAAUUUUUAUUUAAUACUUAAUCUGAUAAAAUUGUCUUUAAACACAAAAAGAAACUUUGUCUUCUCCAUCUUAUUUAUCUUUCUAUCUAUUUCUCUCCUUUUUAUUUUUCUUCUAAAAUCAAACAAAUCAUUAGUGAAUAUAUAUAUAUAUAUAUAUAUAUAUAUAUGAGAUUAAAUUAUUAACUUUAUUUUGAUAUAAUAUUUGACACCUUACCUUUAGAUAAUAAUAAUAAUAAUAAUAAUAAUAAUAAUAAUAAUUACAUCUUUGUUUUAUGAUAAGAACGUGAAAGCGCAAGGAGGAUGUAGGUCAAGUUAAUUUCGCAUAAUCACCAAUGCAUGGUUAUUUUCUCCUUGUCCUACUCUUUCCUUAUCGCCAAUCAUCUUAACAAUGGAAGCUUCAGGAGUUAAAAACAAUUGCGCGCUAAAGAAACUUAUCCUUGAAUGAAACAACAAAACAAUGAAGAUUGGAAUUAAAAAAAGCUCUAGAGGGAUUGGAUGGGAGGGGGCGGUGCUGAAGAGGGGCAAUAAUUAAUGUUAUCGAAUGGCAAUUAAUGCUCGUGAACUAUAGCAUAAUGCAGGCAAGCAUUCAUGAGGAAUAUAUGUCUUUAGAUUAGCUAUGAAGCAAAAAUACACGUAAUAUCAUGUAUCUCAAGACAUUAAUAAAAAGUUGGAAUUUAUCGUGUGUUAAUCGACAUUACGCUUUUAAGUUAUUUGUACUCCAUCUGCCUAUGUAGUUGUUCAGUGAUUCUUAAUAUGUUUUUUUUUUAAAUUAUGCGAUAAUUUCUAUCAAAUUAGUGAAAUUACACAUUUUAACCCUCGUGUUAUGUUGUAAUAUGACUACACUAAAAGCAGUAUCUAGAACUGUGCCUAAAUUUUAUCCUAAUGAAAAUCUUCCACUACAAAAAUUCGGAGGUCUAGCAACGGUGAUUUAACGGUGGUUAAAAAAACAUACCGUCGGUCUUUGAAGUGUCCCAUAUACCUUCAAUUUUUUAAAUUCUUUCGUGUUACAAUUCACAACAAGAGUACUUAUAUUUAUCUAAGAAAAUCUUUUGCAGUAGUUUAUGUUUAUUUUACGUACUUUUUUUUUAUAAAUAUUACUAAUUAGUAAUUAUUAACUUCAUUUUCUGAAGAAUCAAAAAAGUAAUUAUUAACUUCAAACAAGCACAUUAAGUGAUACAUAGACACAUAAUCAAACAUUGUACGUGGCAAUUUACCAUCCUCAUUCAAUCUUUCUCCCUUCAUCAAUUUAGUUAUUGCAUACAUUUCAAUACGAGUCCUAGUGAGGGAUAUGAUUGAGAAGGGAUCCUCUGUGAUAUAGGCAACCCCCUUACUUUUUGUACACACUUUUAAUUCUAUCAACUGUAUAUAUUAAUAGCUAUAAUUUAGUUACAUUUUUAGGUAACCUACAGUUUAAUUUUACCAAAUCAUUAUUGCUUCUAUUUCCCAUUUUUGGGUAUACAAAUUAAUUAUAUAUAUAUAUACAAAUUAAUUUAGUCAUAUAUAUAUAUUCCAUUUAUGAUUUGUUAGGUGCAUGUAGCUCUCCCCCAUAUAUAUCAUAAUAUUUAACGCCAACCAUCCCCUCCUCACUUUCCCUCAUCUUCCAAACUAGCUAAGAAGACACGUAGAAAGAAAGCUACUCUACAAGUAGAAAACCCACUCCAAGAAAGAGAAAUAUGCUUCCCAUAACAUGCAGCAGCCUGCACUUCCCAGCACCACUGCUCAUCAUCAUCAUCUCAUGCCUCGGUUUAAUCGUCAUCCUCAACCACCUCAUCUCCCUCUUCAAGUGGAUCUUCCACACGUGUUUCAGGCCUGAGACCGACCUCGCCGGAACCUACGGCUCGUGGGCUCUGGUCACCGGCGCCACGGAUGGCAUCGGAAAAGCCAUGGCCCACGAGCUCGCCCGGAAAGGCCUCAAUCUCAUCCUCGUCAGCAGAACUGCCAAGAAGCUCGAAAUGGUUGCAUGCGAGAUCCGAGAUAAGCACCCUGGCACCCGCAUUGAGACCAUCCAGGUCAGUGAAAGACUCAGCUCCAUUAGAAACUAUCACUAUGGAACAAGAAAAAUAUAGUACGUUUACAAUUAAAAUAGUUUCUUUGAAAAAUUAAUUUUAACACAUAAGAAACAUAUUAUAAAUAUCAUGUACUAAAUGUUAGUAGCUAGUAAAAAAAUGACUAGUGGAAUUGUCAAUUUUGAUCCUUUCUAAUUAUUCAAUUUUACUUAGUAUUUUAAUUUUCUCUCCCUUACUCAAAUUUUCUGGUUCCAUCCUUGGUUUAGGUGGAUUUCUCCGGUGAGUUCUCAGCGGGGCUCCGGCGGAUUACGGAGGUGGCAAUGGAGCUGGAUCUUGGUGUUCUGAUCAACAAUGUUGGGGUCACGUAUCCGGGGGCGAUGUUCUUCCACGAGGUGGAGGAGGAGGUGUGGAGGAACCUUGUGAGGGUUAACAUUGAAAGCACAACGAGAGUGACGAAAGCUGUUUUAUGUGGAAUGUUACAGAGGAAGAGGGGUGCCAUUGUUAACAUUGGUUCUGGUGCUGGGGUGGUUGCGCCUUCACACCCUCUCUUUACGAUCUAUGCAGCAACAAAAGCGUAAGUUUUCUCACUGCACCUUCCUCAUUCAUUACUUUGUCUUUGCAUGUUCAUAUAUAGCAAGACUACUAUACACAAUAAAUUGUAAUAAAAGCACUUUUACCUAAAAGGAUAGUUUUAUUUAUAAAUUCUAUUUUCUAGGCAUUUAGACAACUUCUAAGAGGAUAAUUUUAUUAUACAUUCUAGGUUUUAAAGAUCAAACAUGAUAAAGUACUAAAAUUUACUUUUUUUAUGGUUUAAAAAUAAUUAUACAUAUAAUAUACACAAACAUUCAAUUGUAUUUCACUAUUUUAACACAUAUAUAUUUAAGUUAAAAAUAAUUAAAAAAUAUAAUAUAAAUAAAGUGCAGUGAAAUUGACAGGGAGAGACACUAAAGUGCAACCCGUGAUGCAUUACGGGACACGUCAAAAACUGGAGAGUUCUGACUCUAGGCACCCUCCACUCCAGACUUGUAACUGAUGAUCACAAAAAAGAAAUAAAACAGUUAUGCAUCACUCUCUUUUUAACUGUGCAUUAAUUCCUCACGGGACAGUUUAUUAAUAUGUAGAUGAUGAACAAUAAUUAUUUAUUCACACCUCAAAAUGAUGUGGAAUGAGGUGGAGGAAGAGAGAUAGGAAGAAAAGAAAAAGUAAGAGUGAGAAAAUAUAAGAUGUGAUAGAUGAUAAGAGGAGAGAGAUAGAAAUAAAAAUAUGUGAAAAUAAAAUGUAUAAAAAAAGAGAUGUAUCAUUACCCGAUGAUGAAAUGAUUGAGAGUGAGACAUCGAGUUUAGUACUAUCAUUUUGGCCUAUAUUUUUAUGAUUUAAAAGUUUUCAAUUAUAAUUUUUUACAGUGGAAAGAUAAAAUACAUUUUUAAGGGAUUGAUCCCUUAAAAUUUACCUCUCUCGUUUAUAUAUUUCUCAGCUUUUACCACUUGAGCUAUCAUUCGGAGAUAAUUGUUAAUCUUAAUUUAUUAAUUAAAUAAAUAUUAUCUAUAUUUAUAUAGGCUAAAAUUAAAGUUUAACUAUAUAAAUUAAUUCAAAAACUUUCUAAAAUGAUUUUGAACUGAUUUAGAUAAAGUCAUUAUUCACUUGAUGAAUAAAAGUGGGUUUGCAUGCGCACAUUGAAGUAAGUUAGCACAAUAAGAUCAAUUGUAGGAUGUUUUUUUGUGAAAAGUGGAUCAAAUGGAUUGAGGGUUGCUUGACGUUGGUUUCAUUCUCAAUUUCGAUGAACAGAAGCUCGUGCGAUGAAUUCUUCAUAUCCCUGUAAAAGGGAUUAGACAAUGUGACUCAUUAGCUCUGUUCUUAUUCUUAAUUAAUAGUGGCUAAGGUAUUGAGUUACCUAUUUAUUUUUGUUGUACAUCGGAUUUCAAUUCUGCUAUGUAAUAAAACAAUCAUGUCUUCAAUCCAAUCCUCUUCAACAUUGUGAUUGACUCCCAUAAUUUGGUUCUUAAAAAAAAUCACUAUAUUAUAUAAGGCCAGAGAUUCUUUCAAAGCAUCUUAAAAUACUUUUAACAGCCCAAAUAUUCUCAUUAGUUUCACAAAGCAGAAUUGUAUCAUCCGCAAAUUGAAGAUAGAUAGCUGAUUUCCAAUUUAUCACUCAUCCUCUGUCGGCUAUUUUCCCUGUUACUGAAAGAGAGAAAAACAUGCAGCUAUGUGCAUCAGUUUUCAAGAUCUCUCAAUAUGGAAUAUGGACAACAUGGGAUCCACGUGCAAUGCCAGGUAUAGUACUAUAAUGUUAGCAUGAUUACUGCACUUUUUCAUGGUAAUGAAACUUACUAUUGUAUUUUGAUGAGGAAUUAAUGAAGGUACCUCUGUACGUUGCGACGAAAAUGGUGUCAAGGGUAGCAUCAAUUAAGCAAAAUUCGCUGUUCAUACCAACACCUGAAGGUUAUGCAAGAGCUGCAAUUCGUGCAAUUGGGUAUGAACCAAUUUCCACACCUUACUGGGCUCACUCAAUUCAGUGGUGCUUCGCUCGCUUAAUCCCUGAUCCGCUUCUUGAUGCUUGGCGCUUGUCCAUUGGUAUGCGUCGCAGGAAUUAUAUAAAGGGACAGAAGAACUAACUGAGAGCUUACCAUUAGCGCAGUGUUUGGGCAGAGCUAGAGCUUGGCUAAUGCAUAAGUUAGUGUUUGGUGUGUGCGUGUUUUGUAUAAAAGUUCCUUCUAACUUUUGUGAAAGUUGGUUAAUUUUAGAGUGAACCGUUUAAUAAUCAUAGUGUGGAAGUUCCAACUUCUUUUAUCCAUUAUGAACUAAAAUCUUUUCUCUCAUUCUUGUGUCUUAUUUUCAGAUAGAAAUCAUCUGUUGUUCAGUCUAGUUUUGAUGACUCUUUUUCAUGCUCUACCAAGUACCACCAUUAAAAUUAAAAUUGUGGUAACGUCAUUAAGCAUAUGCAAGUGGUGGAUUUGUGGUUGUACUCCUAACAGCCUAGAUUUAGAAGAAGAAAAAGAAAGAGUCCGGGAAAAAAAUCUAACCCAAAAAAGAAAACAAAAAACAAAUUGGGCAAAGAAAGGAAAAAAAAGGUUCCGCUUGAGUACAAGUUCAAGUAGAGUAUAAUAUGUAAUAAUUAUAACGACCAAUAUCACAUCCAAUAAGCAAUGAAUUAUAAAGAAAAUAUGAUAAUAAUUAGUAAUUAAUAAAUCAAUAAGUAGGAGAAAGAAAAGGUUAUAAUUUUGCCCUUAGGUUACACAUGAGUACUAGUAUUUAUACAAAAGUGUAGCUAACUAACUUAUAAUACAAGUAACAAACUCAGCAACUAACUAUAACUGACCACAACUAUUAUUCUCACCUAUGUUUUGACUUUUACUUGCUAUUUUCAUUCUGUAUUCUCAAAGAUCUCCUUGGAGCUAGUGUUGGUUUUGUGUUUCGACCAAGCUAGAGCUCAUGAUCCGAGUGUUUACUUUCACUCUCGUCCUCCAAGUCCCCCAAGUAUAUUUCACUCUCGAACCCUUGGGGCUUAUGUGUGAAAUAUCUAACAAGAAAAAUUGACGAGCGGGUGAUUUUUCUUUAUUCCCAGAAAUAAGAGUGUACUAAGAUAACAUAUAUUAAUAUCUCAACUCCAACCGUAGAAGACUAGACAACCAAUAAUCAGUAGAAAGGCACGACAUCCUACUACCCAUAUACUGACUUGAGUUGCUAACCCCAUACCAACUUUAGCACUAGCAGGAGUUACACAGGAGACUAGACUAGGUAUAACACAUAAGCCUGCAUUAUCACUAAAACUGCACCAUACAAGUGUAGAUUUAACAACUUAAUCGUAAAGAAAGUUAAGAAAUAACAUGGAGAUACAAUGAAAUCAUAAUUAAACUUGGGAUUUGGAAAAUCAGUCCUUCUAGAGUAGCAGGGACCCUUCAAGACAAGGAGUUGCCAUUAAGGUUCCUGCAUAAGUAUUUUUUUUAAUACAAACCUCUAGUUUUCUUAUUUGUCUUAUUCAAGUUCAAGUAGUCAUGGGCCUAUGAGAUUUAGGUUCACAUAAAAUGAGUAGGUUCCGCUUGAGUAAAGUUCAAGUAGAGUAUAAUAUGUAACAAUUAUAACGAUCAAUAUCACAUCCAAUAAGCAAUGAAUUGUAAAGAAAGUAGGAUAAUAAUUAUUAAUUAAUAAAUCAAUAAGUAGGAGAAAGAAAAGGUUAUAAUUUAGACCUUAGGUUACACAUGAGUACUAGUAUUUAUACAAGAGUGUAGCUAACUAACUUAUAAUACAAGUAACAAACUCAGCAACUAACUAUAACUGUCCACAACUAACUAUAACUGCCCACAACUAGUAUUCUCACCUAUGUUUUGACUUUUACUUGCUCUUUUGAUUCUGUAUUCUCAAAGAUCUCCUUGGAGCUAGUGUUGGUUUUGUGUUUCGACCAAGCUAGAGCUCAUGAUCCGAGUGUUUACUUUCACUCUCGUCCCCCAAGUAUAUUUCACUCUCGAACCCUUGGGGCUUAUGUGUGAAAUAUCUAACAAGAAAAAUUGACGAGCUGGUGAUUUUUCUUUAUUCCCAGAAAUAAGAGUGUACUAAGAUAACAUAUAUUAAUAUCUCAACUCCAACUGUAGAAGACUAGACAACCAAUAAUCAGUAGAAAGGCACGACAUCCUACUACCCAUAUACUGACUUGAGUUGCUAACCCCAUACCAACUUUAGCACUAGCAGGAGUUACACAGGAGACUAGACUAGGUAUAACACAUAAGUCUGCAUUAUCACUAAAACUGCACCAUACAAGUGUAGAUUUAACAACUUAAUCGUAAAGAAAGUUAAGAAAUAACAUGGAGAUACAAUGAAAUCAUAAUUAAACUUGGGAUUUGGAAAAUCAGUCCUUCUAGAGUAGCAGGGACCCUUCAAGACAAGGAGUUUCCAUUAAGGUUCCUGCAUAAGUAUUUUUUUUAAUACAAACCUCUAGUUUUCUUAUUUGUCUUAUUCAAGUUCAAGUAGUCAUAGGCCUAUGAGAUUUAGGUUCACAUAAAAUGAGCAGGUUUCGCUUGAGUAAAGUUCAAGUAGAGUAUAAUAUGUAACAAUUAUAACGACCAAUAUCACAUCCAAUAAGCAAUGAAUUGUAAAGAAAAUAGGAUAAUAAUUAUUAAUUAAUAAAUCAAUAAGUAGGAGAAAGAAAAGGUUAUAAUUUAGACCUUAGGUUACACAUGAGUACUAGUAUUUAUACAAGAGUGUAGCUAACUAACUUAUAAUACAAGUAACAAACUCAGCAACUAACUAUAACUGCCCACAACUAACUAUAACUGCCCACAACUAGUAUUCUCACCUAUGUUUUGACUUUUAAUUGCUCUUUUGAUUCUGUAUUCUCAAAGAUCUCCUUGGAGCUAGUGUUGGUUUUGUGUUUCGACCAAGCUAGAGCUCAUGAUCCGAGUGUUUACUUUCACUCUCGUCCCCCAAGUAUAUUUCACUCUCAUACCCUCGGUGCUUAUGUGUGAAAUAUCUAACAAGAAAAAUUGACGAGCGGGUGAUUUUUCUUUAUUCCCAGAAAGAGUGUACUAAGAUAACAUAGAUUAAUAUCUCACCUCCAACCGUAGAAGACUAGACAACCGAUAAUCAGUAGAAAGGCACGACAUCCUCCUACCCAUAUACUGACUUGAGCUGCUAACCCCAUACCAACUUUGGCACUAGCAGGAGUUACAAAGGAGACUAGACUAGGUAUAUCACAUAAGCCUGCAUUAUCACUAAAACUGCAUCAUACAAGUGUAGAUUUAACAACUUAAUCGUAAAGAAAGUUAAGAAAUAACAUGGAGAUACAGUGAAAUAAUACUUAAACUUGGGAUUUGGAAAAAUCAGUCCUUCUAGAGUAGCAGGGAUCCUUCAAGACAAGGAGUUGUCAUUAAGGUUCCUGCAUAAGUAUUUUUUUAAUACAAACCUCUAGUCUUCUUAUUUGUCUUAUUCAAGUUCAAGUAGUCAUAGGCCUAUGAGAUUUAGGUUCACAUAAAAUGAGCACACUGAGGUUCUGCUUAAGUACAAGUUCAAGUAGAGUAUAAUAUGUAACUAUUAUAACGACCAAUAUCACAUCCAAUAAGCAAUGAAUUAUAAAGAAAAUAGGAUAAUAAUUAGUAAUUAAUAAAUCAAUAAGUAGGAGAAAGAAAAAGUUAUAAUUUAGACCUUAGGUUACACAUGAGUACUAGUAUUUUUACAAGAGUGUAGCUAACUAACUUAUAAUACAAGUAACAAACUCAGCAACUAACUAUAACUGCCCACAACUAGUAUUCUCACCUAUGUUUUGACUUUUACUUGCUCCUUUGAUUGUGUAUUCUCAAAGAUCUCCUAGGAGCUAGUGUUGGUUUUGUUUUUCGACCAAGCUAGAGCUCCUGAUCCGAGUGUUUACUUUCACUCUCGUCCCCCAAGUAUAUUUCACUCUCGUACCCUUAGGGCUUAUAUGUGAAAUAUCUAUAAGAAAAAUUGAGGAACGGGUGAUUUUUCUUUAUUCCCAGAAAUAAGAGUGUACUUAGAUAACAUAUAUUAUUAUCUCACAUCCAACCGUAGAAGACUAGACAACCGAUAAUUAGUAGAAAGGCACGACAUCCUCCUAUUCAAGAUGUCCCUCUUUGCUAGAGAGGGCAGAAUAAAAUAGGAUUUCAAAGACUUGAGUUCUUGAUCAAUGCAGCAUAAAUAAACCAUAGAUUACAAAGUGUUAAACUAUUUAUCUUGCCUUUUUAAUUGUUCUUUUUAAUUGACCAUUCUCGUUCCUUAUGCUUAUUUUACUAUUACAACACAGAAACUUAUCUAGUAACCAAAUUCAUGAUGCAUUCCGGCUUCAAUUGGAACAAUAACUAUUUUACAAGUUUUAUAAGUGACUUCUUGUUCUCGCUCUUCUUAGUGUUAUAGUUUUGGAAAGUAACGAGAGAGUGAAAGAGAAGAUUUUUAGGGAAAUAAUAUUUUUUUGUUUAUAACUUGGAGCAAUACAUGUUUUAUAUAGAAAACAUAAAAGACCUAGCUGCGGUUGAAAACGCCGCAGAUUGCAUACUCCAUUUCGACUCUAUUUUACGGUGGUUUUAACCGCCGCUAGAUACUAAUUAUUUUUUCUUCAUGAUCGCUUCUAUUGCGAAUUAAUACAUAAAAGUUCAUUACUUUCAUAUAAUUUAACACAGCACAGUGCCUAUGACUAACAAAUUCCAAUUUCGACUGUAUAUAUAGGAGCAACCAUUUUCAUCUGAAGUUAAAUAAUGAAUAUACAAAGUUGGAGGCCUCAAACUCCUCAAAACAGAAUGCAAAACUGUUUAACAAAUUUACUAAUUUCGUCUAGACAUUUGCAUGUCAAAACUAGAAACAAAUUAUAACAAUCAAGUCUGUUAAUGACCACAAUUCAUUAGCAUACAAGUGAUCUUUCCUAUUUUUCUAAAAAAGACAUCAUCAUGAAUAGCAAGAACAAUUCUUGUUAGUGAAAAACAAAUUGCAUAGUUAUCAUGAUUAUUAAGUUGUGAUUGCCUAAUGUCCAUACAGCAAACCUGAAAGCAGAGUUGACAUUGUUACAAACACUGUAAGAUUGCUUGGACUUUUAACUUGAAUAAGACAAAUAAGAAGACUGGAGGUUUGUAUUAAAAAAAAUACUUAUGCAGGAACCUUAAUGGCAAAUUCUUGUCUGGAAGGGUCUAGAAGGACUGAUGUUUCCAAAUCCCAAGUUCAAGUAUGAUUUCAUUGUAUCUCCAUGUUAUUUUUUAACUUUCUUACGAUUAAUGUGUUAAAUCUACACUUGUAUGCUGCAAUUUUAGGGAUAAUGCAGGCUUAUGUGUUAUACCUAGUCUAGUCUCCUAUGUAACUCCUGCUUGUGCUAAAGUUGGUAUGAGGUUAGCAGCUCGAGUCAGUAUAUGGGUAGGAUGAUUUAUUGCCUUUCUACUGAUUAUUGGUUGUCUAGUCUUCUACGGUUGGAGAUUAGAUAUUAAUAUAUGUUAUCAUAGUACACUCUUAUUUCUGGGAAUAAGGAAAAAUCACCCGCUCGUCAAUUUUUCUUGUUAAAUAUUUCACACAUAAGCCCCAAGGGUACGAGAGUGAAAUACACUUGGGGGACUUGGGGGCGAGAGUGAAAGUGAACACUCGGAUCAUGAACUCUUGGUCAAAACACAAAACCAACAACAGCUCCACGGAGAUCUUUGAGAAUACAGAAUCAAAAGAGCAAAUAAAAGUCAAAACAUAGGUGAGAAUAGUAGUUGUGGUCAGUCAUAGUUAGUUAUUGAGUUUGUUACUUGUAUUACAAGUUAGUUAGCUACACUCUUGUAUAAAUACUAGUACUCAUGUGUAACCUAAGGUCUAGAUUAUAACCUUUUCUUUUUCCUACUUAUAGAUUUAUUAAUUACUAAUUAUUAUCAUAUUUUCUUUAUAAUUCAUUGCUUAUUGGAUGUAAUAUUGGUCGUUAUAAUUGUUACAUAUUAUACUCUACUUGAACUUGUACUCAAGCGAAACCUCAAUGUGCUCAUUUUAUGUGAACCUAAAUCUCAUAGGCCCAUGACUACUUUUUUUUCCUUUCUUAGCCCAAUUUGUGUUUUCUUUUCUUUUUUCGAUUAGAUUUUUUCCCGGGCUCUUUCUUUUUCUUCUUCUAGCCAAAUCACCCAAACACUUCUUUUGGUAACAGAGGAAUGAACACACUAACAGAAAACCAAACUUCAAUUAAUCUUUUCCUGAUUAUCCUCCUCCCUAUAACUUUUGGUUGGACACAAUCGACAUUGAUGAGAUAGCAAAAAAGAGAUUUUAAAGAAUGGAGGAAAUUUAUUGCAACUUUUUACCAAAUCAUAGGUACAUGACCAAAAUCUAGAUUCAAUUUUCUUCAAAUGCAUAAAGGUUACUACAAAAGAUACACGCCAGAAAAUAUUGUCAAAGUCAAAUCUGAAGAGGGUACUUCACUAUACUCAAUGUAUUCGGUCUGUCGAAGGUCAAACAAUUUAAAUGCAACUGUAUGACAAAAUUGAAAAUUAAAGUUUAUCAUGAAUCAUAGUCAAGUUGCAAACAGAUUCUACUUGCCACCAUUUCUAAAAAGUGCAAGUUGGAACUCCUUCGCCACAAUGAAGUAUUUAGCAUUUAUAAUUUCUAUUUUAUCAAAAUGUUACUAAAUUCUGAUGACAUCAGUAAUAUAAACAAGGCUUAAUUGCACAUUUAGUCCCCCACUUCUACACUUCCUACAAUUUUGGUCCCCAACAAAAUUUAAUUGCAUUUUAGGACCCCCAACGUUGUUCUCCGUUAGCAAUUUUGGUCUUCCGUCCAAUUUCUAGCGGAAAUGCUGACGUGGCAUUCAUAAAUAAUAUUUUAAUUGAAAAAAAUUAAUUUCCUUAAUUAAACUAUUUUCAUAUUGAAAAAAAAAAGAGAAAACGAAUCAAUGCAUCACAUCUUCUUCUUUCUUGUUUCUUCUUCUUAAUUACCCAACCACCAUCUUCAGCCUCAAGCCCUCAUUCACACACCACCAUCGCCACUCCCAUGUCACGACACUCCUCCUCCUCCUCUUCGUAUUCUUCUUCUUCUCACCACGCACCACCAUCCAAAUCGCCUCUACUUGGAACCCAAAUCGUCCUCUCAUAGCAUCAUCUUCUUGCAAAACCUUGAUGAUCAAAUCAGGUCCCAGAUCUUAAAGAUCACAACAUUGAGCAUUGUGUUGUGGGUCGGUGGAGCUCCAAUGAGAUUCGAAGAGCUGGUUCGACGAUGGCCUUUGCGGUGGCCAGAACCUUCGAUGGUGGUGUCACUGUCGUGGAGAAGAAUCCCGAUUUGAUUCAGAUGGAGGUGUGAUUCAGAUGAGGGUCAAAUGGGUUCUGAAAAAGUUUGAAGCUUUAGGGUGUGUUUGGAGAGUUUGAUGGCUGAAAUGGGUUGAAAAAAUGAUGAAUCUGAAUGUUAAUUUGUGCUUCAAAGGUUGAUCUAAAUGUUGGGUCGGUGGGGGGUGUUUUCGAUUGGUUAAGAUGGGGGUGGAGGGGUGGUGCGGUGGUUGAGUGGUGGUGGUGCUUGGGUGGUUGAGUGGUGGUGUUGUGGUGCGCAGGUGGUGGUUGAAUGGAAGAAGAUGAUGGGGUUUAUUUUCCUUUCCUUUUUUUUCAAUAAAGAAAAUAGUUUAAUUAAAGAAAUUAAUUUAUUUCAAUUAAAAUAUUAUUUAUGAAUGCCACAUCAGCAUUUCCGUUAGAAAUUGGACAGAAUUGGGACGGAAGACCAAAGUUGCUAAUGGAGAACAAUGUUGGCCGUUAAAAUAUAAUAUAAAACCAUUAAAGUGACCCUUACCCAACAGCUUAGCUUUUGGGAUUAAGUGGUUAUUUGAUUUGGUAUCAGAGCCUCUAUGACCGAGAGGUCUAGAGUUCGAUCCUUACUCCCCUCACUUUCUAAUUAAAAAGUGAAAUUUAAUUAAGCACAUGGUAGGUGGGCUUGUGCAUUUAUCCACGCUUCAAGCCCAAAGGCUCUUGCGUGAGGGGGGUGUUAGAAUAUAAUAUAAAAUCAUUAAAGUGACCCUUACCCAACAGCUUAAGCUCUUGGGAUUAAGUGGUUAUUUGACAUGUUGUUGGGGUUCUAAAAUGUAACUAAAUUUUGUUGGGGACUAAAAUUGUGAAAAAUGUAAAAGUGGGGGACCAAAUGUGCAAUUAAGCCUAUAAACAAAAUCAUGGCUAGUUGUAACACAUGAAAAAGUUAUAAUGUCAACAACAAAUUAAACACAUUGUAUCUACCAAAAGCAGUGCAAACUUUGAUUUUGUACCAAAACUUUACACAAUUAAGACUAAUAGUUUGAUCAUCGUAAUUUUUGUAAAACUUGUUCUAGGGAGAGAAGUUACCUUGGGGAUUUUGAAUUUAUUGUAGACAUCUUGAAGGACCUUGUUGUUCUGAAUCAUUUCCUACUCAUUACUACCACGAUUUGUUCAUAUUCCUUUGGCAUCAGUUUUGAAAAAGAGGGGAGAUAAUACCUAGAAUUUUAUUAAACAAAACCAUCAUAAAAAAUCUGAAAAGGACAAACAGAGAUUUACAAUAUCAAUGAGUAAUAUAGUAAACUGGGCAAAUGAUAAGAAUCCCUAAGAAUCAAGUAAAACACCUAAACUAGUAAAACCAAAUCCAUAUUUGAAUAAUAGUUGAGUAAUUCUAGUUUGUAUUCGAACCAGCCUUAGACUGUUUUUGAACUAAAACCCACAUUUUUUAUUAAUUGUCACAUUUGUUUACUAUUCUUUCUUAACGGGCUUACCAUUAUAUUUAUUAUUAGGAUAUUUAAGACACAAGUUUAAAGUGAUGGACAUUAGUGCUAUUGCUAUUUCCUAUGUAAACAAAAAAAAAAGUGAGAAUCAAUGACAUAUUUUUUCUUUGCAUUGAAAAAUGUGUGUUAUAACAAUUUUAGGAUAUAAUAACAACAUAUAAAUGUGAUAAAUUUCCUUAGAAAAACUAAUAAUCAAUAAUCAAUUAAAAGUACUAAAAGAAUAAAUUCAUUUUUUUAGGAGAAAGAUUUACGAAAAGAUCAAAUCUAAAACAUAAAAAAGCGUAAUAGUUAUUAGUGCGAAAGUUUCAUUGGAUGAAAUGCAAGGGAGAAAUAGGUUCUUAUAUUUUUCUUACACUUUGAAGAUUAAUUAGUUUAAUUUUUACUUUUUUUGUUAUAUAUAUAUAUAUUUCUACUAAACAUAAUUUAAUUUAUGUAUUGAAAUUCAGUCUCCAACUAUAACAAUUUUUUUUACUUGGUCCCCCAAAAUUUAUCUCCUGGUUCCGCCACUAGUCCACUACUAGUGGCCUUUACGUGUUACCGAAUUCUUCCACCGUUAGAAUGAAAAAAGUCAAAAAACUGAUCACCUAUGAACAAUGACUUUUGUGUAAAAAAAAAACAAUGACUUUUACUUUACAUUCAAUACAAGUUGACCACAUUUAUUUUGUUGUUUUUUACUUCAAUACUCAAUAGAGAAAACCCCCUGAAAUAUAUAAUUUGCAUUAUAUUAAACUCUACAUUAUAAUCAUAUUUGCAAGAAAGAGGGUCCAAAAAUUCUUAAUUAAUAAAGAAAGGAAAGCAAACAGUGGUAUUCAAAACGCAAGUUCUAAUUGUGACGUCCCUAAAAGUGUGGACGUAUGAUAACAGUUGGUUCAGGUGGUAUUUUUUUUAUAAGCAAAUCAAAUAUAGUAAUAGAAGUACAAUGAUACUUUAACUCAAUAUAAAAAGAAGAGUAGUAAGUGAGGAAGAAAUUACAACUCAAAUCCACUUUAGAGAUCCCCGGAGGCAAGACUUUUAAAAACAUGUCUCGUUAAAACCUUACAAGAAAAACCUCAUUGAAAAAAACAUUUUGAAAGAAAAAAAGAGUGAUGCUAACUUUACUCUUUAGAGUGAUUUCAGAGCUUAAUUCGAGAAAUAUAACACUCAAUGAGAGCUUGCCCAUAUCUAAUAUUUUCAUUUUUUUUGAUAAGCCAAAUGUGUAUUAUAAAUAGAGGUACAAGGGGUACCACAACCCAUAAUACAAAAUAGAGUGCACUACAAAUAGAGAAAAGUAAAAACAGGACAGCAACCAAAUAGAAAGCCAGACAUCAGGCAAAAAAACACAAAAUGAAAACAAAGCAGAAAGCUCUCAAUCAUUUGUAUUGUAUACCACCAAGUUCAUUCAAAAUGUCCAAAUGCCAACACAUCACCAUGCUGCUACCUUAGCAUCCGUUCCAGCAAAAUCCCCACUCUGCAACCACCUCAGAAUUUCGUAUUUCACAUACCAGCAACACAUAAGGAAGGAUGGGCAAACCAUUCAUAAAAAGAGCAGCUAAAGCCUUUUAGAUUAGCUUUAUUCCAUUGCCAAGAGCGCCGCUGAAUCAGAUCAAAAGUCCCAGACACAUCCACCAGUUUUCCUCUAAAAGCACAGUCAUUCCUGAGGAGCCAGAGGGACCAAAUAGUUGCCAACCAGAUUGAGAACAUACCUCUCUGUUGGUAUUUAUUUCUCCCAAAUUUAAAAUGGUUCAAGUGAUCGCGAGAGGACAAGUGGAUUACAACAGAACACCCAACCCAUCCAUAGCAGCGCUUCCACACUUCCCUGGAAAAAGAGCAAUCAAAGAGAAGAUGGAAACUUGUUUCAUCUACAUUUCUGCAGAAGAAACACUUAGCCUCACCAUGUGGAAGAGGGACCUGACGCCUCCUCAAGCAAACCAGAGAGGCAAUUCGAUCCAACAUAACCCUCCAAGCGAAUGCCUUCACCUUCUAAGGAGCAGAUGAAUUCCAGAUCACCAGGAGAAUUGGAUCUUGAGGGGGCAACGAUGGUUCCUGUAAGAAACAAUAAGAGGAUUGGACAGAAUAAUUCCCAUCAGCACUUGGAAGCCAUGUCCACUUAUCCGGAACACCUUGCUGGAGUUGAACAGUAGCAACAUCACGAAGCAAGGAUUGCUCCCACAACAGCUCACGGCCUCUAAGCGGACGACGCCACUUGAACUUCCAAUGCCAAGACCUGUUAAUCCACUCACCACAAUCACUCACACUUGCCAAUUUCAGGUAGGAAAGAUUAUACAAUCGAUGGUAUUUCGACACUAAGCUUUCAGCUCCAGCCCACGGUUCCCACCAAAAUGGAGUGUCAUUCCCUUCCUUAAUAGCUUUAGACGAGCCAGCAUCAAUCCAGCUAACUCCAUCCACCCUACAGGCAUCAUUCAGAUCACGCCACCAAGGUGAAGGCUGAGAACACGUACCUGAAAAAUAUUUUGCUUUAAUUACUCGGCACCAUAGGCUUUUCGGAUCAGUCCGCAGCCUCCAAAGCCACUUCCCAAGCAAAGAUUUAUUAAACAACUUCAGAUCUUUUAUUCCUAACCCUCCCACCUCCUUUGGCAUACAAAUUGAAUGCCAUUUGACCCAAGCAAUCUUACUAACAUCCUCCGAGCCACCCCACAGAAAACGUCUCAUAAUCCCUGAGCAAAUACUUUCAACACCUGCAGGCAGCUUGAGAAAAGAAAGGUAGAAUAGUGGCAAGGCUGAGAGCACGCUUUGGAUUAAACAGACCCUACCACCAAAUGAGAUAGUUUUAGAGCGCCAAGCUGAUAGCUUUCCCCUAAACUUCUUAAUAACCGGCUCCCAAGUCUCCUUACGGCUUGGGCAACCCCCAAUUGGGACUCCUAGGUAAGUAAAUGGUACAGUCAUCGUCCUGCACUGUAAAAUUGAAGCAAGCUGAUUAGAAACAGAUACCGGGACAGCAAUCGAGGCUAACUUACUUUUGUUGAAGUUAACUUUGAGGCCCGAGAUCAAUUCAAAACAUCUUAACACGCAUUUCAGCACCACCAUAUUCUGGACCGUCGCCUCUCCCACAAACACCGUGUCAUCAGCAAAUUGUAACAAAGACACUUCACAAUCAGCGGACCCACCAACCUUAUAGCCAACAAAUUUACUCAAAGCAACAGCAUUAAGAAACAGCCCAUUCAACCCUUCAGCUAUAAUCAAGAAGAGGAAAGGAGCAAUGGGGUCUCCUUGCCGGAUUCCCCUUUCCAUCCGAAACUCAGCACUUGGGCUUCCAUUCACUAAGACCGAUACUGAGGCAGACUGAAGGCAUCCAUGGAUCCAUUUAAUCCAACGAGGAUGGAAGCCCAUUCGUCUCAUCAUGUAAAAAAGGAACUCCCACUCCACCGAGUCGUAGGCUUUUUCAAAGUCUACCUUAAAGAUACUGGUUGCCCUUCGCUUAUACUUAGCUUCAUGGACAACUUCAUUAAGAACCACUGCACUAUCCAACAUAUGGCGACCUCCAAUGAAGGCAGAUUGUCGCUCAUCAAUAAUCUUCCCCAUAACAGGUUUCAGCCUAUUUGUCAGCAGCUUCGAGAUCACUUUGUAGAUACAUCCAAUAAGGGAUAUUGGCCUGAAAUCAUUAAGAGACUGAGGGGAAUUGAUUUUAGGAAUGAGAGCAAUAAAGGAUGCAUUGGAUCCUUUCGGCCAAACUCCACGCUGCCAAAACUCCUUAACAGUCUUCAGGAAAUCAACUUUUAGGACAGGCCAAAACUUCUGAACAAAUUUAAAGUUAAAGCCAUCGGGUCCUGGGCUUUUAUCACCCCCACAAUCCCACACGGCAUCCCUAACUUCACAGUCGCUGAAAGGUUCAAUCAAAGCUGAGUUAUCAGCAGCAGAAAGGGAUUUAAAUUGCACUCCAUCAAGAGUUGGACGAAUCCAAGAAUCUGACUUAAAUUUCUCAGCAAAAAAAUGGUGGACCGCUUCCUUCACCCUUGCUGGCUGAUCUUCCCAGAUACCAUCAACCAUCAAACCGACAAUAGAAUUGGCACGUCGCUUCCAAUUAAUCGUAGAAUGAAAGAAGCUGGUGUUCUGGUCACCUUCAGAAAUCCAUCUAGUCCGGGCCUUUUGAAACAGUAAGGAUUCAUGAUACCGCAGAACCAUCCAGAACUCAACCAUGAGUUCUCUCCUAUUAUAACAAAGGAGUUGUCUAAAUGACCCAAGAAAAAUUUGGGUUGAAUAACAUAUCAUCCAAUCACAUUGAAGAUAAGUGAGUUGGAAUUUUUAUAUUUUAUUUAUUAAUUUAUUUUCAACUCACUUAUCUCCAAUAUGAUUGAAUGAUGAGUUAUUUAACCGAAACUUCCUCAUAGGUCAUUUAGACAACCCCUAUAACAAAACAUGCACUCAGAUUAAGUUGUCGUAGUGCUAAAUCACUAAUGUGAAAUCUUAACCCUAGUAUUAAUAUUUAAUCACUUGUUUUCCGCUUUCUCUGGAGUCUUCUUAAAUCGCAACCACUAAGGCACUAACAAUGAACUACAGAGGAAACAACGACAACUCACUCGCAAUAUUCCAUUAAAAAUAUUCUGUUAUGUUACGUACUGUCUUAUGUUUCUUAAAAUAUAUGCUUGAGUUCUUCAACUUUGUAAUUAAAUAUUUGUGCUUUUCAAAUUACGUGCUAUAUUAUCCUCAUCUAAACAAAUUCACAAGCCUCAUGUGUUGGUCUGAGUGAAAGGAGCUCAGAUCUCUUAAACAUGUGGUCAAGCAUUGGUCCCUACUUUAAUACGUGACAUUCAUGUAGGAAAUUAAUCUUUCACCUAUUAAGUAGUGGAAGGAUACUAGAAAUCGGAAAAGAAUAAAAGAACAAAUUCACAGGCACAAUAAGCUUAUUUUGAAAGUAAAAAACUGCAUACUCCAUCAUCCACCACUAACGUAGCAUUCAACUUGUUCAAACAACAAAACAAUGUACACACUUAAUUUAUAAGAUCCAUUCAAAUUUACCCAGAACACAUAACUAAAGAAAGAAGAGAGAGGGAAUAACCACCGUUUGAUAAAGGGAAAAUAAAAAGAAAAGAAAAAGUAAAAACAGAGAGGGAGAGAAAGUAGUUACAAACGGUUAACGAUUUGUUUGCAGUUUAUGUUUCUUUCGAAACGCAACCUCCGUGUCCAAUCCGAAACCAUCAACGGUGCGGACAUGAACCAAAACUGAUUUGUUAAAAAGCUCUACGAGAGGCUGCACGCUGUAGAGGUCGUUAGCGGAGUACUUAUCGGCGCGACGCGAAAGCGCCACGUGCAGCACGCACACACCGUCAGGCUUCAACGUGCGUUCAAUCUCUGCUACAAACCGCUGUGGGUACAAUGCGUGAUCAAACACGUUGGAGAAUUCAAAAUCAAACAUCUCAUCACCAAACGGUUGGUGGUGAAAGUCACCCUUCACCACCAAUGGCGGGUAGGGGACCAAGUCGAUUCCUACAGAAUCAACCACACCUACCCGCCGUAGGGCCUCCACCUCCUGACCCACGCGUGCGCCAAUGCAGAGGGCCUUGGAGGUGUUUUGUAGAAGGCUCUUGUCCUUGAGGUCUUCGAAGAACCGCGCAAAGACGGGGAUCUUCCGGUUCCAGUCGCGGGUGGUCCAUAUCUUUCGGAGCCUUGGGUUGAGGGUCUUGUUGAGCUGGCGUUGUAUGUAGGUCUCGUAGGAGGUGUAACCGGGUCGGAUUGUGAGAUCUUUUGUUGUGGAAUGAGAAUGUUGAGGUUGUUGUUGUUGUUGUGGAGAGAAUAGAUGGAGGAAGAGGAAAGGGAGGGACAGGAAGAGUGAGAUGAGGAAGCAUCUUAGGAUGAAUGGUUUUGUGAGCGUGAGUUUCAUAUCCGUGUAAAAUGCUUAUGGUUGAUGAUGUAGUUAUGCUCAGUUUGCAUUGUUAUUUUGGUUUUUGUGUUUUGGAUGGUGUGGGAGAAAUGGGGGCCAUGAAAAGUUCUGGAAACAGAAAUUUGAAACACAAAAAUGAGAGAGAAGAAAAACUAAACCAAUAUAAUGAAACGAAAUUUCAGUGAAUUAAAGCGGAAAAAGGUGAUAGAUAGUUAGAUACGUCGUUUGUGAUGAUUAUUAUGAAAAUUGGCAAAGAAGGAAGUACGCGUGGUGCGCAGUGCGCGCAUGCAAAGAAUCAAGGUGGCACUAUUUUUGUGUGUAUACUGUAUAAGCUUCAUUUUGCGUUGUGAAUUUGUUAACUUUAAGCCUCACUUUUCCGUACAUCGAUUGAUAGCAUGUAGAAUAAUACGAAUUCACGUUGAUUACAGAGCGCUUUAACGGGUAGGAGGGAAAAGAAAAAGGGAUUAAUUAAAUAAAAGUAUUAAUGGGUCCAAACUGAGCCAGCAAAUUAAGUGAUAAAUGGUUGGACAAAGCCAUGAUUAUAGGGAGAGUGAGGAGAAGUAAGGAACAAGUCAAAGUGAAAUUAAUCAACGUGAUCAUGGUUAUAUAAGGUUGCCGUCCCAUUCAAAUAAUAUAAAAAACUAAAAAGGUUAAUCAAUAUUUUUUUUUUUGAGUAAAGGUUAAUCAAUAUAUUGAAAACAUAUUAACCAAAAAAAAAAUAUUGAAAACAUAUGUGUUUAGCUGUUUGACCGCUAUUGUUAUUGUGGAUUUCUAAACCAUCAAUUUUUUUUUUAAAUGCACCGUAGAUUGUGAUGGUAAAAAACCAUCACAUCUACUAAAUUGCCUUAAAGGCUUAAAUUAUCAUAUAUCGGAUGAAUUUCGCUCCAUCUUUAUGUUCACUAAAUAUUACCAAAUUUUAUACAGUGAAUAUUGACAGGCUGAACAAAAAUUGGAAUAGGGACACUCCAAUGCAAGGGAAAGUAUCAAAUAUGAUCAUGUGAGGUCAAAUUAAACUUGACUUAUUAGGGCAGAAACUACAUGCAUGUGAUUACAAAAUUCCAAUGAAUAUGUUCAAGCUGCAUGCAUGACUCUUCUGAUAGGUUCGCCAAUCACCAUGCAUAUAUAUGUUGCAUCGUUACAGUUAUUACAGUUACAUUCAUUGGUUAUCUGCGGCCAUAGCAAUGGGAUCAGUAUCUCACCCAAUCUUUAAUCGGCACUCCUCCCAAUCUUGCCAUGAACGAAGCAAGAUUUUGUAAUCUUCUAGUUUAACCUUUGUUUGGACUGAAAAAUGUAAAAGAAGAAAAACACGAAAUCUGAAAAAAUAAAACUAAAACUUAUUAUUUGAAAAACAAAACGAGAAAAGGAAAUCUUACACCCAAGCAAUUAAAAUAGUUUUGUAAUUUCAAAUUUUUGAAUUUUCCUCUUUUACAUUUUAAUUUUAAUGUUCAGUACAAUUCCAUCCCCCGACAUCUAACAAUCUAAUUUUCAAUUAAAAAGAUUUGUUAUUUCGCAUUUGUAAGUUUCCCUCUUUUACAUUUUAAUUGAGUAAAUACUAAAUAGGUAAUUCAGUCCUGAAUUUUUUUUGGUGCUUAUUAGUCUUUGGGAAAAAAAAACUUUGUAAGUCCACGAAUGCGUAAAUUGCCACUAACAUACAUUAGUAAAAGUAACCAAGAAGUAUAUUUGGGCACUUACUCCACUACAACAAAUCGCGUAAUUAUUGACGGUCAAAAAACCGUUACAAAAAAUCUCACUUUACUUGUUCUUCUAAUAUGCCAAAAACUAGGCUUCGUUGGGCUAGCUUUCUAAGGCUCAAGUCUCUUAAACGUACUUUGAGCCUGAAUUUGACAUAUUAGUCUGAAAUAAGACAUUUUUACGGUAUAGUAUGACCCAUUUUAAAGUUCGGUCAGCUUAAAAACCUACUUAAAAUGUUAAUUUAUAAUGAGUAUUCAAAUGAACAAUAAGUUUUUCUCUAAAUUGACAAACAUGUUAUAGGUUCAAAAGUCUUUUGAAAAUGGCCCAAAUCUGACUUUUUUUUUAGUUAAAUGUUCUUUAUAAAAAAAAUAUAGGUUAUGUUUAUUUAGUUGAGAUGUUUUUGCUGUGUUCACCUAAUCAUCUUCAUGACCCAGGCCUUGGUCGCUUUGGUCUUGGUAUUGGAUAAAUGGACUUUUGAACCAAAAAAAAAGAUAAAUGGACUAUUUUCAGGCGUUGAAUGCUGAAGUUUAAACCUAGCCCGUUACACUUGCUCUUGAAAUGAAUAACAGAACCCAAAAAUCUUGACCCUUCAUGUGGUAAAUUUUCUCAUUAAUUGUGACAGAACACACACAAAAACAUUGAUUCACCUUGAAUUACAUAUAUUUCUCUUUCUUAAACUCACCUAAUUACUUUAAAUCAUAUCAUAAUUAAGACCCUCCCUAUAUAUGAAGUGAAGGGGCCUAAGUAAAGAUUGUCACACAUUCUCAUAAAAGAGUCAUACAUGUAUAUAGUAAAGAUGUUGAAAUACCACAAAUUCAACAAACAAUACUAACUAUGUCAUUUUUGUUCCCACAAAACGAGCACAUUCCCAUUAUAAUCAAACUAAAAAGGGUUAGACACCAAUGGUUUUCCUCACACUUCGCAUCACCUUGUAUCCUAUAAGAACCCUUCCUUGCAAAAUCUUAAUCUCCGCAUCCACCACAAUAUCAACCCUUUCCUUGCAGCGUUUCUCUAUCUCUCUUGUUGUAGCUAGAGAAAAACUGCACGCGCCUCUCAUCCUUAUAACAAACAAAACCAAAAAUAUUUUCUAUCAGAAUGGCACGUGCACGCUAUGUUGUGGUUCUUGCCUUUGUCAUGUUCGCCAUCAUUGGCAUCGCACGUGCCGCCGAGGCACCCUCCACCAACGAGUCCGACUACGAAGAAGAUGACACUGAGUUCAUGAUCGGAACUAAGGGUGGCGACGCUCCUUCACCCGGCACUGUUGUCGCCGCUCCCAUCGGUGGGCCCGUGCCUCCCGGUGCCUUCGACAAUGCUAAUGCUCAGGCUGAGGCACCCGCUUCCGCCGCCUCUUCCCUCCACCAAGUUUCAGCUGUUGCCGGAGCUGCCACCGCCGCUCUCGCCGGCUUCUUCUACUUCUAAUUGAUUCUGAUCGUUUGGUUCAGCAAUGCAUGCUAAGAUAGAGAGGAAUAGGAUUAAUGUUUAUAUCUGUUUCUUCUCGAUCGCACGUGCAUGCGUGUUGUUUUUUUAAUUUGGACAUGUAAUCGUCAAGUUUGUUUGGUUAUGAAACCCAACUAAUCAACGAUUUUUUUCAUGCUAAUAUAUAUGAUCAUGCUUGAAUAAAAGAAGCUUAAUUGAUAAUAACUACUCAGUUUUUAACGUUGAGAGUUGUUUAUGGUACCUUAUUUUUGUUUAGAUUUAGAAUAAAGCUUCAAACAUCAUUGGACACACACGUUGAAGCUUAAUUUGUUUAGUUGGGAAACACCGUUUUAGAAAGUCAAAUAUAACA
This 40770-nucleotide long non-coding RNA is filed under the name Lotus japonicus. Its description in RNAcentral is "long non-coding RNA (LJAP_LNC001928)". The record is from RNAcentral. Lineage: Eukaryota; Viridiplantae; Streptophyta; Magnoliopsida; Fabales; Fabaceae.